GAUGAAGAACGCAGUGAAAUGCGAUAAGUAAUGUGAAUUGCAGAAUUCAGUGAAUCAUCGAAUCUUUGAACGCACCUUGCGCUCCUUGGUAUUCCGAGGAGCAUGCCUGUUUGAGUGUCAUGGUACCCUCAACUCCUGUCGCUUUUGCGGCGGGUGUUGGACGUGGAGGUUUGCAGGCGGACUCGUCUGUCUGCUCCUCUGAAAUGCAUUGGCUUUGACUGUUGUCGAGCGCGAUCCGACGUGAUAAUUGUCUGCGUCGUUUCGCCUCUGCAUGAAUAAGGUCUCGGCUUCCAACCGUCCCUCGCGGACAACACUUUAACUUCUGACCUCAAAUCAGGUAGGACUACCCGCUGAACUUAAGCAUAUCAAUAAGCGGAGGA
This 380-nucleotide unclassified non-coding RNA is filed under the name soil metagenome. Its description in RNAcentral is "partial contains 5.8S ribosomal RNA, internal transcribed spacer 2, and large subunit ribosomal RNA". The stretch from base 1 to 120 matches the Rfam family "5.8S ribosomal RNA", at positions 35 to 154 of the family's 154-position model. The record is from RNAcentral.